RNAcentral lists this ribosomal RNA (127 nucleotides) under uncultured fungus. Its description in RNAcentral is "partial 5.8S ribosomal RNA". It matches the Rfam family "5.8S ribosomal RNA", at positions 30 to 154 of the family's 154-position model. Rfam says of the family: 5.8S ribosomal RNA (5.8S rRNA) is a component of the large subunit of the eukaryotic ribosome. The record is from RNAcentral. Lineage: Eukaryota; Fungi.
GCAUCGAUGAAGAACGCAGCGAAAUGCGAUAAGUAAUGUGAAUUGCAGAAUUCAGUGAAUCAUCGAAUCUUUGAACGCACAUUGCGCCCCCCAGUAUUCUGGCGGGCAUGCCUGUUCGAGCGUCAUU